AUGCAUGGUCACUUUGAGAAACUCUAUGAAGACCGGGCUACAUGGGUGCCAUGUUACUUCAAAUUCAGGUUCUUCCCUUUCCUUCAGUCAAUGCAAAGCAGCGAAGGGUUCAAUGUUGUGUUGAAGCGCUAUAUGAACCCUGACAAGUCAAUUCUCAACUUCGUCAAGCAAUAUGAGAAGAUUCAGGUACACAUACUCGUGAGGGAGGGCGGGAAUGACUACCGGACAGAGCAUCUAGACGCACAAAGAUGGUCACGUUUCCCCAUUGAGAGGCAUGCCUACAAAGCAUACACUAGGGACAUCUAUGUGAAAUUUAGAACUGAGUUUCAGAUGAUUGGCCAGUACGAUGUGCGUCCCGCCGGAAUCAACUUCUAUUACCUUGAGCCCAAUACA
This 393-nucleotide ribosomal RNA is filed under the name Triticum aestivum (bread wheat). Its description in RNAcentral is "partial small subunit ribosomal RNA". Lineage: Eukaryota; Viridiplantae; Streptophyta; Magnoliopsida; Poales; Poaceae. The record is from RNAcentral.